AUACUUACCUGGACGGGGUGAAUGGGUGAUCAAAAAGGCCCAUGACCUAGGUUUGUGACCUCAUUGCACAUUGAGGAUGCUCUCCUAAGAUCUCCCCAAGUGGGAGAGUCUGCGUCAUAAUUUGUUGUAGGGGCACGCGUGUGCGCGGCCCCGUU
This is a small nuclear RNA of Macleaya cordata, 155 nucleotides long. It matches the Rfam family "U1 spliceosomal RNA". From Rfam's summary of the family: U1 is a small nuclear RNA (snRNA) component of the spliceosome (involved in pre-mRNA splicing). Its 5' end forms complementary base pairs with the 5' splice junction, thus defining the 5' donor site of an intron. There are significant differences in sequence and secondary structure between metazoan and yeast U1 snRNAs, the latter being much longer (568 nucleotides as compared to 164 nucleotides in human). The record is from Rfam. Lineage: Eukaryota; Viridiplantae; Streptophyta; Magnoliopsida; Ranunculales; Papaveraceae.